This 494-nucleotide ribosomal RNA is filed under the name uncultured bacterium. RNAcentral's name for it is "partial 16S ribosomal RNA". It matches the Rfam family "Bacterial small subunit ribosomal RNA", at positions 28 to 507 of the family's 1533-position model. The record is from RNAcentral.
GACGAACGCUGGCGGCGUGCUUAACACAUGCAAGUCGAACGGAAAGGCCUGCUUUCCCUUGUGGAUUGCGGGUACUCGAGUGGCGAACGGGUGAGUAACACGUGAGUGAUCUGCCCCCAACUUGGGUAUAAGCCUGGGAAACUGGGUCUAAUUCCCGAUAGGACUGCAGGGUGGUGCCUGUGGUGGAAAACGAUUUUCUAGUGGUUGGGGAUGAGCUCGCGGCCUAUCAGCUUGUUGGUGGGGUAAUGGCCUACCAAGGCGGCGACGGGUAGCCGGCCUGGGAGGGGGGACGGCCACAUUGGGACUGGGGUACGGCCCAGGCUCCUACGGGAGGCAGGAGUGGGGAAAAUUGGACAAUGGGCGGAAGCCUGAAGCAGCGACGCCGGGUGGGGGAUGACGGCCUUCGGGUUGUAAACUCCUUUCGACCGCGAGGAAGCCACCUGGUUGGAAGGGUGGUGACGGUAGUGGUAGAAGAAGCACCGGCUAACUACGUG